AGAAAAUGAUUUACAAGGCCUUAUGGGCUACCAAACUUUGAGCUGAUUGGAGUUAUGUUAAGAACUUGUACAGGCUUCAAACAACUCCGUUAUGUGCUAUAUGAAUGGGGAAAAAAUGCAUUGAAAUUUUAGAUUCAAUGGGGAGAAAGUUCUGUAUGGGGAGGAAUGCCUGAGGCUCUUAGUUGCUGUGUACUGCUGGUAAGGAUGAAAUUUACAAUAGCUGAAGCCUGAAGGUCUUAAAGAGCGUGGGCUAUUGAGAUUAUUAUCGAUUUCCGGAAUCAUACUUGUGGAUGAUAGGUAUUGCUCUAAAUAUAAUUCCGGGGAAUCAUAGCAUGAGACAACAUCAUGCAUCGAAGUUAAGAGUUCAAGUGUAUCCAAAUUUUGCCUCAACUUCGUAUUCCAUUUAAAUUUACAUGUUUAUCACUACAACUUUCAAUUAUCUAGUAGUACGUUUUCAUGUUGACAUGUAUUUGAAUAUUUCAAUUGUCUGUUACUGAAAGUCGACAUUUUAAUGUAAGGUUGUCAUAUAUAUCCAAUAAUAUGAGUAUCCUUGGUACGAA
Molecule: long non-coding RNA, 560 nt
Organism: Asparagus officinalis (garden asparagus)
Lineage: Eukaryota; Viridiplantae; Streptophyta; Magnoliopsida; Asparagales; Asparagaceae
Exons: 2
Source: RefSeq, a predicted model, not a curated record